Molecule: unclassified non-coding RNA, 336 nt
Filed under: soil metagenome
Description: partial contains 5.8S ribosomal RNA, internal transcribed spacer 2, and large subunit ribosomal RNA
Rfam family: 5.8S ribosomal RNA (bases 1-120)
Source: RNAcentral
GAUGAAGAACGUAGCGAAAUGCGAUAAGUAAUGUGAAUUGCAGUAUUCAGUGAAUCAUCGAAUCUUUGAACGCACAUUGCGCCCGCCAGUAUUCUGGCGGGCAUGCCUGUUCGAGCGUCAUUUCAACCAUCAAGCCCCAGGCUUGUGUUGGGGACCUGCGGCUGCCGCAGGCCCUGAAAACCAGUGGCGGGCUCGCUGUCACACCGGGCGUAGUAGAUUUUAUCUCGCUCAGGGCGUGCUGCGGGUUCCGGCCGUUAAAAAGCCUUUUUUACCCAAGGUUGACCUCGGAUCAGGUAGGAAGACCCGCUGAACUUAAGCAUAUCAAUAAGCGGAGGA